Danio aesculapii is the source of this 145-nucleotide small nucleolar RNA. RefSeq annotates it as U8 small nucleolar RNA. The transcript has a single exon. The record is from RefSeq and is a predicted model, not a curated record. Lineage: Eukaryota; Metazoa; Chordata; Actinopteri; Cypriniformes; Danionidae.
GCAUCAGUGAGGUUUAUCCCUACCUGUUGUCUUACACUAUAGUAAUAUUUUCUAAGACUACAGUAUGAUGAUUGGAUUCUAUGAAUACAUGAUUAUGGUCUGUAUUCAUAUGGGACUUGUCAUCCCUUUAUGAAUCCUGUCUGAU